RNAcentral lists this microRNA precursor (127 nucleotides) under Myotis lucifugus (little brown bat). RNAcentral's name for it is "mir-9193 microRNA precursor family". It matches the Rfam family "mir-9193 microRNA precursor family". Lineage: Eukaryota; Metazoa; Chordata; Mammalia; Chiroptera; Vespertilionidae. The record is from Rfam by way of RNAcentral.
CAUGCACGGGUGGGGUCCCUCGGCCUGGUCUGCACCCUCUUGUAAUCCAGGUCCCCUCGGGGGAUGUCGGAAAACCGGUUUCAGCCUGAUCCCUGCAGGCCAGGCCGAGGGACCCCACUGGUGCACA